This 279-nucleotide ribosomal RNA is filed under the name uncultured bacterium. Its description in RNAcentral is "partial 16S ribosomal RNA". It matches the Rfam family "Bacterial small subunit ribosomal RNA", at positions 506 to 784 of the family's 1533-position model. The record is from RNAcentral.
UGCCAGCCGCCGCGGUAACACGGGGGGCGCAAGCGUUAUUCGGAAUUAUUGGGCGUAAAGGGCGCGCAGGCGGGACGAUAAGUCAGUGGUGAAAUCCUACAGCUUAACUGUAGAACUGCCAUUGAUACUGUUGUUCUUGAGUACAGUUGAGGUAGGCGGAAUGUGUCAUGUAGCGGUGAAAUGCUUAGAUAUGACACAGAACACCGAUUGCGAAGGCAGCUUACUAAACUGUUACUGACGCUGAGACACGAAAGCGUUGGGAGCGAACAGGAUUAGAUA